AGUGAACGCUGGCGGUAGGCCUAACACAUGCAAGUCGAACGACAGCACAGUAAGAGCUUGCUCUUACGGGUGGCGAGUGGCGGACGGGUGCGGAAUACAGCGGAAUCUAAUUAUUCGUGGGGGAUAACGUAGGGAAACUUAAGCUAAUACCGCAUACGACCUAAGGGUGUAAGCAGGGGACCUUCGGACUUUGCGCGCUUCAUUGAGCCGAUCCCGGAUUCGCUAGUUGGCGGGGUAAAGGCCCACCAAGGCGCCGAGCCGUAGCUGGUCUGACAGGAUGAUCAGCCACACUGGAAUGUAGACGCGGUCCAGACUCGUACGGGAGGCAGCAGUGGGGAAUAUGGGGCAAUGGGCGGAAGCCUGAUGCAGGCAGACCGCGUAGGUGAAGAAGGGUUGCGCGUUGUAAAGCCCUUUUGUUGGGAAGGAAAGCAGCAGUUUAAUACCCCGCUGGUCUGACGGUACCCAAAGAGUAGGCACGGGCUAGCUUCGUG
This 491-nucleotide ribosomal RNA is filed under the name uncultured bacterium. Its description in RNAcentral is "partial 16S ribosomal RNA". It matches the Rfam family "Bacterial small subunit ribosomal RNA", at positions 29 to 507 of the family's 1533-position model. The record is from RNAcentral.